UACGUAGGCAGCAAGCGUUGUUCGGAGUUACUGGGCGUAGAGGGUGCGUAGGCGGCUUCUUAAGUCUGGUGUGAAAUCUCCCGGCUCAACUGGGAGGGUGCGCCGGAUACUGAGGGGCUAGAGUGUGGGAGAGGAAAGUGGAAUUCCUGGUGUAGCGGUGAAAUGCGUAGAUAUCAGGAGGAACACCGGUGGUGUAAACGGCUUUCUGGACCAUAACUGACGCUGAGGCACGAAAGCGUGGGUAGCAAACAGG
RNAcentral lists this ribosomal RNA (253 nucleotides) under uncultured bacterium. Its description in RNAcentral is "partial 16S ribosomal RNA". It matches the Rfam family "Bacterial small subunit ribosomal RNA", at positions 524 to 776 of the family's 1533-position model. The record is from RNAcentral.